GUGGGGCAUGGCUGCUCGCGCGUGCCUGUGUGGGUCUGUGUAUGUUUGCAUGUGUAUGUUGGGAGCAUGAAGGGGCAUGUGUGUCCCGGUGUGUCCUCCGCACAUUCCUGAGUCCUGUUUCAGGUCUGGAGGACUGGCUGAGGUGUCCUCUUGUCUCGGCCAGCCCAUGGGGUCUCCAUCCGCUGCUGCUCCGGUUCUCCGGGGCUGGGCUGGAAAGGCCUCACCGCCCCUCUUCCCCCUCCAGGGUGGCCCUGUGGAGAUCUUGCCCUACCUGUUCCUGGGCAGCUGCAGCCAUUCGUCAGACCUGCAGGGGCUGCAGGCCUGUGGCAUCACAGCCGUCCUCAACGUGUCCACAAGCUGCCCCAACCACUUUGAGGGUCUUUUCCGCUACAAGAGUAUCCCUGUGGAGGACAACCAGAUGGUGGAGAUCAGCGCCUGGUUCCAGGAGGCCAUAGGCUUCAUUGACUGGGUGAAGAACAGCGGAGGCCGGGUGCUGGUGCACUGCCAGGCGGGCAUCUCGCGCUCUGCCACCAUCUGUCUGGCAUACCUCAUGCAGAGUCGCCGUGUGCGGCUGGACGAGGCCUUUGACUUCGUUAAGCAGCGCCGGGGGGUCAUCUCCCCCAAUUUCAGUUUCAUGGGGCAGCUGCUGCAGUUUGAGACCCAGGUGCUGUGUCACUGAGGUGGUGCCCCUCUGCCUGCCUGCCCCACUGUGCUGGCAGGAGCUGACUGUGGACUGGUGGGCUCCCCUCUGGGCCAGCACAGUCCCCUCACCU
RNAcentral lists this small RNA (773 nucleotides) under Pongo abelii (Sumatran orangutan). Its description in RNAcentral is "retained intron". Lineage: Eukaryota; Metazoa; Chordata; Mammalia; Primates; Hominidae. The record is from RNAcentral.